UUAUACGUCUUGGGAGAGAACAGUCACAUAAAUUGUUUGGUAAAGAUCCAGAUGUCAUGAUUCUUCCCUAUAGCCCAUCUCAGGCCUCCUGGCUUGGUCAACACAUGGACGAAUGGGCAAUCAGCUGUGUUGCCUUUCAGGGUAAGAUAGAUAAUCAUUAUCCUCCAGAUAGAUUAAUUCAGUUUUUUGGUAAGCUUUCAGUUCUUGUUAUUUUCCCAAAAGUUAUUCGCACUCGCCCCCUGCCCGGGGUCCAUCUUGUUUUUACUGACAGUUCCUCUAAUGGCCAGGCCGCCUUUUCCAUUAAUGGCAAGGUACAUCAAAUAUCCGAUCCGCACAGUUGGUAGAGCUCCGAGCUGUCCUUGCAGUAUUUGAGACCCUACCCAGAUCACCCUUUAAUUUGUACACAGUUAGCUCUUACCUUGCC
Molecule: long non-coding RNA, 424 nt
Filed under: Rattus norvegicus (Norway rat)
Lineage: Eukaryota; Metazoa; Chordata; Mammalia; Rodentia; Muridae
Description: long non-coding RNA NONRATT019383
Source: RNAcentral